Eriocheir sinensis (Chinese mitten crab) is the source of this 482-nucleotide long non-coding RNA. RefSeq lists it as uncharacterized. The transcript has 3 exons. NCBI's taxonomy places the organism in Eukaryota, Metazoa, Arthropoda, Malacostraca, Decapoda, Varunidae. The record is from RefSeq and is a predicted model, not a curated record.
GAAGAACCAGAGCAUCACAUCCAAGAUGCUUUGACUGCACACACUGCUGGAGCUUCAAGUCAACUUAUGACAUGUGAGACAGUCAUUGAGGUUCACCCUCAGCCACACCCUCCACAGGAAGAACUCCUACUAGAGCAUCACAUCCAAGAUGCUUUGACUGCACACACCGCUGGACCUUCAAGUCAACCUAAGACUCCACCUGAAGAAGUUGGUGAAGUGUAUCCAAGGCCACUCCUCCCACAGGAAGAACACCACUAUCAAGAAACAUGUACAUCACCUGAACCCAAAAAUAAGAAGAUGCUGCAGUUCAUUAAACGCAUGUCAUUCUACAACAAAGAUCUUCACAAAGACUGACAAAAGUUACCAAAGAGAGAAAUUAUUAUCGUGAAGAAAUCAAGAAGUAUCAGGAAAUUAUUAAUAAAUUACGGAAUGAAUUGGAUAAUGUCAGAGUUGAAUGCCAGGAAAAUGUUUCAAAAGCAUUA